RNAcentral lists this small nuclear RNA (107 nucleotides) under Cervus hanglu yarkandensis (Yarkand deer). Lineage: Eukaryota; Metazoa; Chordata; Mammalia; Artiodactyla; Cervidae. The record is from RNAcentral.
GUGUUUGCUUUGGCAGCACAUAUACUAAAAUUGGAACGAUAUAGAGAAGAUUAGCAUGGACCCUGCGCAAGGAUGACAUUCAAAUUCGUGAAGCGUUCCAUAAAAAA